CGAAUACAAUAUUCAACAUGUUGAGCUAUCUAUUAAAAAUGAGAAUGCACAUGUUGUUGAGGCUAAUCAUACCAAAACAAAUGGGUUAAACAGAUCUUAAAAGUACAUUUUUGGUUAACUCAUCCCUAAGAGGCAGCAAACCAAAUAUUAGGUCAUUUUGUUAAUCAUGUUCUUGGAAAUAUCUGUUGGACUACUUGGACAGGAAGACACACAAAUAAGCACCAAGAUUGAAUAGUUUUUACUCCUAACUUUAAGAAACGACGUACAUUGUAGCUGUUUAGUGAAAUACAAACACACAUAAGAAAGUUAAGUUUAAUUUUUUUAAUAAAUAAAUAAAUUAUUUCUCUUUAAAAACAGAUCAAAACAUUUGUUGUCACUUGAUACAAA
This 387-nucleotide long non-coding RNA is filed under the name Mytilus galloprovincialis (Mediterranean mussel). Lineage: Eukaryota; Metazoa; Mollusca; Bivalvia; Mytilida; Mytilidae. The record is from RNAcentral.